Long non-coding RNA from Rhincodon typus (whale shark), 3973 nucleotides. RefSeq lists it as uncharacterized. The transcript has 3 exons. NCBI's taxonomy places the organism in Eukaryota, Metazoa, Chordata, Chondrichthyes, Orectolobiformes, Rhincodontidae. The record is from RefSeq and is a predicted model, not a curated record.
AGAUGAAAAACAAUUAACAAAUUGAAAGUCGAAAAGCAUCUUUUGAGUCAGUCCAGAGUUGAGGUCUUUAAGCCUGUGCCUGAAGAAACUUCUUAACUUGACGUAACGUUGUCAUCGAGCAACUGACUCACAAGUUUGUGAACUCACUGUUGGAACUGUUCACUGUGCUCCUCAACCUAUUCUUUCAGAUUCCAGCAUCUGCAGUAAUUUGCUCCCACUUCCAGCUAUGGGUGCUCAGAUAUAAUUGCAGUGUUCGCUAGCGCAAUGUUGGAGAUGGUUUUGGUCUUGGAUAUUUUCACGGGAGCAGUUUUCCAAAUUGUGUGAAGGCUCAUUUGAAGACGAAGAUGAAACCACAGAAACAUCGUUUGGUGCCUUCAGUAGGGAACGCAGUGAAAUGGAUGUUGAUAAUUAGGGGAUUGUUCUAUUCCUAUUCUUCCCCACCCCUGUGACAGGGGACUCGCUGUUAGCUGCAGAGACUAUCAGAGCAACCAGGGAGAUGGUUUAAAAUAAAAAAAGACGGGAAUUCCCCGAACACGCCCAUAUCCCUACAAACCCUUCCUAUUCAUAUACCCAUCCAGGUGCCUUUUAAAUGCUGUAAUUGUACCAUCCUCCACCACUUCCUCUGGCAGCUCAUUCCAUACACGCAACACCCUCUGUAUGAAAAAGUUGCCCCUUAGGCCCCUUUUAAAUCUUUACCCUCUCACCUUAAACUUGUGCCCUCUAGUUUUGGACUCACCCACCCCAGAGAAAAUAUAUUGUCUAUUUACCCUAUCCAUGCCCCUCAUGAUUUUAUAAACCUCUAUAAGGUCACCCCUCAGCCAACGAUGCUCCAGGGAAAAUAGCCCCAGCCUAUUCAGCCUCUCCAUAUAGCUCAGACCCUCCAACUCUGGCAACAUCCCUUGUAAAUCUUUCCUGAACCCUUUCAAGUUUCACAGCAUCCUUCCUAUAGCAGGGAGACCAGAACUGAACACAGUACUCCAAAAGUGGCCUAACCAAUGUCUUGUACAGCUGCAAUAUACCUCCCAACACCUAUACUCAAUGCACUGACCAAUAAAGGCAAGCAUAUCAAAUGCCUUCUUCACUGUCCUGUCUACCUGUGACUCCACUUUCAAGGAACUAUGAAUCUGCACUCUAAGGUCUCUUUGUUCAGCAACACUCAUCAGGACCUUACCAUUAAGUGUAUAAGUCCUGCCUUGAUUUGCCUUUCCAUAAUGCAGCACCUCAUAUUUAUCUAAAUUAAACUCCAUCUGCCACUCUUCAGCCCAUUGGCCCAUCUGAUCAAGGUCCUGUUGUACUCCGAGGUAACCUCCUUCGCUGUACGCUACACCUCCAAUUUUGGUGUCAUCUGCAAACAUACUAACCAUACCUCCUAUGUUCACAUCUAAAUCAUUUGUACAAAUGACAAAACGCAAUGGACCCAGCACCGAUCCUUAUGGCACACCGCUGGUCACAGGCCUCCAGUCUGAAAAGCAGCCUUCCACCACCACCCUCUAUCUUCUACCUUCAAACCAGUUCUGUAUCCAAAUAGCUACUUCUCCCUCUAUUCCGUGUGAUCUAACCUUGCUAACCAGUCUACCAUGAGGAACCCUGUCAAAUGCCUUACGGAAGUCCAUAUAGAUCACGUCCACCACUCUGCCCUCAUCAAUCCUUUUCGUUACUUGAAAAAACUCAAUCAAGUUAGUGAGACACGAUUUCCCACGCACAAAAUCAUGUUGAUGAUCGCUAUUCAGUCCUUGCCUUUCCAGAUAGAUGUAAAUCCUGUCCUUCAGGAUUCUCCCUCCAACAAAUUGUCCACCAUUGAUGUCAAGCUCACUAGUCUACAGUUCCCUGGUUUUUCCUUACCACCUUUCUUAAAAAUAGUGGCACCAUGUUAGACAGCUUCCAGUCUUUCAGCAUCUUGCCUGUGGCUAUCGAUAAUACAAAUAUCUCAGCAAGGGGCCAAGCAAUCACUUCCCUAGCUUCCCAUAGAGUUCUACAGUACACCUGAUCAAGACCUGGGGAUUUAUCCACCUUUAUGCAUUUAUAGAUGUCCAGCACCAUCUCCUCUGAAAUAUGGACAUUUUUCAGGAGGUUGCCAUUUAUUUCUCCAUGUUCUCUAUCUUCCAUAUCCUUCUCCACAGUAAACACUGAUGCAAACUACUUGUUUAGUAUCUCCCCUAUCUCUUGCAGUUCCACACAUAGGUGGCCUUGCUGAUCUUUAAGGGGCACUAUUCUCUCCCUAGUUACCCUUUUGUCCUUAAUGUAUUUAUAGAAUCCCUUUGAAUUCUCCUUAACCCUAUUUGCCAGAGCUAUCUCAUGUCCCCUUUUUGUCCUCCUGAUUUCCCGCUUAAGCAUAUUCCUACUGCUUUUAUACUCUUCGAGGGAAUCACUUGAUUUCUGCUGUACCUGACAUGUGCUUCCUUCUCCUUGACCAAAACCUCAAUUUCUCUAGUCAUCCUACACCUACCAGCCUUGCUCUCCACCCUAACAGGAACAUGCUGUUUCUUGUUAUCUCAUUUUUGAAGGCCUCCCAUUUUCCAGCAGUCCCUUUACUUGCAAACAUCCGCAUCCCCCCCUCCCCCACCUCAAUCAACUUUUGAAAGUUCUUGCCUAAUACCAUCAAAAUUAGCCUUCCGGUCCAUUCUUUUCCAUCACUAUUUUAAAACUAAUAGAAUUAUAGUCACUGUCCACAAAGUGCUCCCCUACUGGCACCUGAGUCACCUGUCCUGCUUUAUUUCCCAAGAGUACGUCAAGUUUUUCACCUUCUCUAGUAGGUACAUCCACAUAUUAAAUCAGAAAGUUUUCUUGUGCACACUUUACAAAUUCCUCUCCAUCUGAGCCCUUACACCAUGGCAGUCCUAGUCUAUGUUUGGAUAGUUAAAAUCCCCUACUAUAACCACCCUGUUAUUCUUACAGAUAACUGAGAUCUCCUUACAAAUUUGAUUCUCAAUUUUCCACUGAUUUUUGGGGGGGUAUAUAGUACAAUCCUAAUAAGGUGAUCAUCCCUUUCUUAUUUCUCAAUUCCACCCAAAUAACUUCCCUGGACAUAUUCACAGGAAUAUCCUCCCUAAAUACAUCCAUAAUGUUAUCCCGAGUGAAAAACGCCACUCACCCUCCUCUUUCACUCUCCUUUCGAUCCUUCCUAUUGCAUCUAUACCCUGGAACAUUAAGCUGCUAGUUCUGUCCAUCCCUGAGCCACAUCUCUGUAAUUGCUAUGAUAUCCCAGUCCUAUGUUCCUAACCGUGCCCUGAGUUCAUCUGCCUUACCCGUUAGGCCUCUUGCAUUGAAAUAAAUGCAGUUUAAUUUAUCAGUCCUACCUUGUUCUCUACUUUAUUCCUGCCUGCCCUGUCUAUUUGACUUACUCCUUUAACCAACUGCACCAGUCUCAGACUGAUCUCUUUCCUCACUAUCUCCCUGGGUCCCACCUACUCCCCCCUUACUAGUUUAAAUCCUCUCCAGCAGAUCUAGCAAAUCUCCCCACCAGUAUAUUAGUCUCCUUCCUAUUCAGGUGCAAUCAGCCCUUCUUAAAUAAGUCACUUCUACCCAGAAGACAUUCCAAUAAUCCAAAAAUGUGAAUCCUUCUCCCCUGCACCAGAUCCUCAGCUGCGCAUUCAUCUGCUCUAUCCUCCUAUUCCUACCCUCACCAGCUCAUGGCACUGGGAGUGAUCCAGAUAUUACUACCAUGGAGGACCUACAUUUUAAAUUCCUGCUUAACUUCCUAUAUUUUCUCCUCAGAAUCUUGUUUUCUCUUCCUGUGUCAUUUGUUCCAAUGUGUACAACGAUGCCCAUUUUGGUCCCUCUCCCCUUUGAGAAUCCUGUCUAAGAUACCUUUGAUCCUGGCUCCUGGGAAGCCAAAUGGGACUACGCUUAUUUAAGAUAUCUGGCCAGCAUGGACAAGUUGGACUGAAGGGUCUGCUUCGGUGCUGUAUAUCUCUAUGAUUCUAUGACAUGGUGAAUUUUACAUUCAGAAAAACUUAAAAUGUGUUCAUGAUAA